This is a long non-coding RNA of Arachis duranensis, 427 nucleotides long. RefSeq lists it as uncharacterized. NCBI's taxonomy places the organism in Eukaryota, Viridiplantae, Streptophyta, Magnoliopsida, Fabales, Fabaceae. The transcript is spliced from 3 exons. The record is from RefSeq and is a predicted model, not a curated record.
AGCUCAUUAUUUAAUGUGAAAUAGUUCAUGUCAACUGACAGAGAGAGAAAGAGAUGUAUUUGACAAGUUUGGCCACACUUAUCAGAAUAGAGAACAGAAUAAUGAAUAUAUAGUUUAAUGACAAGACUAUUUUAUGUUGUAUUAUCUGGCAAGGGUUUACACUAUUGACACAAUCUUAAAGAGUGAGUCGACCUUAUUGAAGUUGAAAAGGAGGCUUCAGAAAAUCAGAGGAAGAAUUCAAGAGGCACAGGUGGCAAUGAAAACCAUAACAACAAAAGCAAGCAUAAUGUAUCCAAAAAAAGAAAAAGGAGUAAAUAAAUGAAAAUUUUAUUUAUUAAGAUAUAGUAUAUAGAAUUAAUCAGGUAUAAGCUCUUUUGGUUGAAUUUUAUAUACUGAUAGAACUAAUCAAUUUUAUAAUGAUAAUUUU